AUUUAUUUAUUUUAUUUUUUAGAAAAUGAUUAAGCUAGUUCGUAGUCAACUCAACAACUGUUUCCCUGGCAACGGCGCCAAAAAUGCUUGUUGACACUUGCUAACACCACUUGAAUACUAGGUUGUCAUCCCGAGCAUGGCACUAGAGUGUACUAUGGUAUUUAUACGCACACAGAUAAUCCGCAAGCGCACGGAUACCGUUGAAGCUUUUACCCGGUUAAAGGUUUUAUCGUAUCCACAUGGAAACGAGGGAACCAACUACGCUCUAACUUAACCAAGAUAGAUAGAUAAGUGUAAAUAGGAAAGAUGGUAGAUUUGAAUAAGAACAAUUUUAAUGGUAAGAUAACAAUGGGUG
This 355-nucleotide long non-coding RNA is filed under the name Sorghum bicolor (sorghum). RNAcentral describes it as "long non-coding RNA (SBIC_LNC012532)". The record is from RNAcentral. Lineage: Eukaryota; Viridiplantae; Streptophyta; Magnoliopsida; Poales; Poaceae.